RNAcentral lists this non-coding RNA (90 nucleotides) under bovine gut metagenome. Its description in RNAcentral is "S10-Clostridia ribosomal protein leader". It matches the Rfam family "S10-Clostridia ribosomal protein leader". The record is from RNAcentral.
UGAUAGCUGUGAAGCGUGAGGUUGCUGCCCGGCUGAAAGGCCCUGCAGGUUUUCCGUGGAGCGAAUGUCAAGUUAAGAAACUGGCGACAA